ACCCCGGAAGGAAAAUUAGGACACCAACUGUGGAAGACAUUUUGAAUGCAAUGUGUGCAAAUGAUGAGCGGAGCGUAACAGAGCCUAUGGGUUUGACGGAAGUGCUGUCAAGAGAACCGACUACAGAUGAUACUACGGAUGUUUGCAACAUCUGCCACUGUCUGUUCAGUGAUGA
Long non-coding RNA from Xiphophorus hellerii (green swordtail), 175 nucleotides. RefSeq lists it as uncharacterized. The transcript has 3 exons. Lineage: Eukaryota; Metazoa; Chordata; Actinopteri; Cyprinodontiformes; Poeciliidae. The record is from RefSeq and is a predicted model, not a curated record.